UUGGUGAAUAAUAAUAAAUUAAAGAAUAGAAUGGAAUUGAGAAGGMGAUGGUUAAUUAAAAUUUAUGMAAUAUAAAAUUUAGAUGGUAGGAUAGUGGMAUAAAAUGGUGGAAAAGGGUAAAGGGGAAUUAGGGUUAGAUUAAGGAGAGGGAGAAUKAGAAAAGGMUAAAAAAUAAAAGGAAGGAAGAAGGAGAGCAAAUUAAMMAAUAAMGMUAAGGGGAGGUAGUAAAAAUAAAUAAUGAUAAGGGGAUAUWWUGGGUAUAGUAAUUGGAAUGAGAAMAAUUUAAAUAAAUUAAAGAGGAAAAAUUGGAGGGAAAGAAUGGUGAAAGAAGMAGMGGUAAUUAAAGMUMAAAUAGMGUAUAUUAAAGUUGUUGCAGUUAAAAAGCUCGUAGUUGAA
Molecule: ribosomal RNA, 396 nt
Filed under: Penicillium italicum
Lineage: Eukaryota; Fungi; Ascomycota; Eurotiomycetes; Eurotiales; Aspergillaceae
Description: partial 18S ribosomal RNA
Source: RNAcentral